Molecule: ribosomal RNA, 113 nt
Filed under: uncultured bacterium
Lineage: Bacteria
Description: partial 16S ribosomal RNA
Rfam family: Bacterial small subunit ribosomal RNA
Source: RNAcentral
CCUGAGCCUUGUACACACCGCCCGUCAAGUCAUGGGAGCUGGGAGUACCCGAAGUCCGUUUAGCUAACCCGCAAGGGGGCGGCGGCCGACGGUAAGGCCCGGUGACUGGGACU